GUGAAGAGGGUGCAGCUUGCAGACAAGUACCUCAGUGAGGCUGCACUGGGUGAAGCCAACGACGACGCCAUGAAGACCGGGUCCUUCUACGCCAAGGCCACUUGAUUCUAGUAAUUAAGAAUGCCGUCACUAUAUAUGCAUGUUUGGAAAAUUCCGUACCUUUUUUGAUUCAUCGCCGCACAGGUAAACGAUUUGAAUUGUAAGUUUCUGAAUACAAAGAAAUGGAAUUGUAUAUGUGAAUUACUUGUUGGAACAUUAUCAUAUAUCUGGAAAUCCUCUGAGGCUUUCUUGAUUAGGUACCGUGGGGGUCAUAUAAUUGGACAGAGAUUGUGAUGCAAACGGCUGGAUUAUUGUUUCAAGAAGAAAGAUCAAUGGUCUAUACUAAACCCAAAAAUCAAUUAAUGAGACUUCCAGGGAAAUUGAUCUUGGCAGCUCAUACAUCAAAGCAUUGCAGAAAUGACAUGCUUAGCUGUUUUUUCUCAAAAAAGUACAGACAUGGCUACCUUAAUUUUAUCUUUUCCAUACUGAUGUUUUACCAAAGAUGCAAUGUAUGGAUGUCAUGCAAGUUCUUUUAUUUUUGCGGUAAUAAUGCGAAGUAUGAAGCACAAACGUACAACACCCAUGUGCCUUGAUGUCAACAGGGGCCGACUUAACUUGUGUGGUACCAAUUGACAGCCCUAGCUUGAUGGUUAUCAACAAACCAGCAAAUAUAAGCCAGCAACAUAUUUUGUGGUACUCGAACUAGGAUCCAAUCUCGGGUGCCUCAUCCAACAAGCAACAUAAGAGUUCAUUUUUGUGUGGUUAUGGAAUAGAAGACCCCAGCUUUCGGCUAGCUGAUGAUCAACAAGACACACUAUCUAUACACCGUGAGUCCGGGUGAAAAGAAACAAAAAUGAAAGGCAAGGAAAGAAGAAAGGAUUCUGAUCAGAGAAUGGCUAGAUCCUGUGGCUGUGGAAUGUUAUAGGAUUCGAGCCAGGAGAUAUCAUAUAGCUGAGCUGCAAGCUGCAGCGUUUGGUCUUCACAGUCCAAGUCAUCCAAACCAGCGGGGGCCAAGAUGCACCCGGCCAGAACCCAAUCUCCAGUGUGUGGCCUGUGGGGGAUCAAGAAGCUGAUCCACAAGCACGGGUGUGUGUGUGCCACCUCCCAGCAGCCUCCCACAGCAACAAGAUGGAUAUCCACGUGUAUUUAAGGCAUCUCAUACCUCUGCCUCUAUACUUUGAGCAGCAGCAGCCAUUACUUGAUCAUCUGAAAAAUCUUAAUCCAGAUCAGACCAAGCAGAGCAGAGAUGUCUGCUACCUUCUCGUCCACCGUCGGAGCUCCGGUGCGUACCACACAUCGAUUCAUCGGUCCACAGCUAUCUUUUCUUAAUGGUAUCAUGUCUUCAAUGGCGUCUUGUGUUGUGUCUACAGGCUUCUACGCCAACCAGCUUCCUUGGGAAGAAGCUCAAGAAGCAGGUGACCUCGGCCGUGAACUACCAUGGCAAGAGCACCAAGGCCAACAGAUUCACAGUCAUGGCCAAGGAGGUGGACGAGUCAAAGCAGACUGACCAGGACAGGUGGAAGGGCCUCGCCUACGAUAUCUCCGACGACCAGCAGGACAUCACCAGGGGGAAGGGUAUCGUCGACUCGCUCUUCCAGGCGCCCAUGGGCGACGGUACCCACGUGGCCGUCCUCAGCUCCCAAGAGUACAUCAGCCAGGGCCUAAGGAAGUACGACUUCGACAACACCAUGGGAGGCUUCUACAUCGCCCCAGCCUUCAUGGACAAGCUCGUCGUCCACCUCUCCAAGAACUUCAUGACCCUGCCCAACAUCAAGGUACGCAGCCAGCACAUGAUCAAUUCAUGACUAUUUAAUUUAAUUUAUUAGCAGUAAUACAAUUGAACAAAGCUGUUUGUGAAGCUUUACUGUAAUUUGGGUGCUAACGAAUCGAAAAUUCAGGUGCCACUCAUCUUGGGUAUCUGGGGAGGCAAGGGUCAAGGAAAAUCCUUCCAAUGUGAGCUUGUCUUCGCCAAGAUGGGCAUCAAGUAAGAACUGUUUGAAGUUACUUUCAUCUAUUGUUAAUUGCCAGCAACACAAAUAUCAUGUCUGCACCCGAAUUAAGCAAGUAGUAACAGAUGAUGAUGUGUGCUUGCUACAGCCCAAUCAUGAUGAGUGCCGGAGAGCUGGAGAGCGGAAACGCCGGAGAGCCAGCCAAGCUGAUCAGGCAGCGGUACCGUGAGGCCGCAGACUUGAUCAAGAAGGGUAAGAUGUGCUGCCUCUUCAUCAACGAUCUCGACGCUGGUGCGGGUCGGAUGGGCGGGACCACCCAGUACACUGUCAACAACCAGAUGGUUAACGCCACCCUGAUGAACAUCGCGGAUGCCCCCACCAACGUGCAGCUCCCUGGGAUGUACAACAAGGAGGAAAACCCCCGUGUGCCCAUCAUCGUCACUGGUAACGAUUUCUCCACGCUCUACGCGCCACUCAUCCGUGACGGUCGUAUGGAGAAGUUCUACUGGGCCCCCACCCGCGAAGACCGUAUCGGUGUAUGCAGGGGUAUCUUCCAAACUGACAACAUCAGCGACGAGUCCGUCAUCAAGAUCGUAGACACCUUCCCAGGCCAAUCCAUCGGUACGUUCCCUGCACUCCACCGAUAAUAGUAUGCAUACAUCAAUGCAAGAGUAGUAAUUAACAAAGGAAAUGCUGAUCCCAAAACAGACUUUUUCGGAGCGCUGCGUGCCCGGGUGUACGACGAUGAGGUGCGCAAGUGGGUCAGCUCAACCGGAAUAGAGAACAUCGGCAAGAAGCUGGUGAACUCGAAGGAUGGACCGGUGUCCUUUGAGCAGCCAAAGAUGACAAUCGAGAAGCUCCUGGAGUACGGCCACAUGCUCGUCCAAGAGCAGGACAAUGUCAAGCGUGUGCAGCUUGCUGACAAGUACAUGAGCGAGGCUGCUCUGGGAGAUGCUAACUCAGAUGCCAUGAAGACUGGUUCCUUCUACGGUUAGAACACUCUUCAUACACACACCAUCUCUAGCUGCAUAGGAGGAGGUGAACUACAAUCUUUUUUUUUCUAUUUUCAGUAUCUACUUUACAUAUACUUCAAACUUGUGUACUUCCAAAAUAAAAGGGAGUGAAUUAUAAGCGACAGCGAGAAAUUAUUCUUACCUGUUCUUCUGGCACAUCAAGCUGAUCUUCUCAUUGCAUUGUGCAAAACAACUAAAUUUCAGGUAAAGGAGCACAACAAGGUAAUUUGCCCGUCCCAGAAGGUUGCACUGACCGGAAUGCCGAGAACUACGACCCAACAGCAAGGAGUGACGACGGCAGCUGCCUUUACACCUUUUAAGCAUGCCACUUUAAUUAUUCUGAUGUUUCACUCUUUGUACCUAAGUACCGCAUUGCAUCCAAGCAAUUGCUGGGCAUGAAAAGUUUUUGUUCAUAUAUAAAGAUAUUGAGUAUAUUCAUUUGGUGAACAGUAAUAUAUAUAACUACUUAUCCUUGCAGUAUUCAUUUCUUAAAUAAUUCUUAGUCUGACUCUGAUAAGUGAGGAAAGCUCCUGCUUGUUGGAAACAAAAUAGAAGUAACAAUUUGAGGUUCAGCUUGUUUAGGGUCGAGAGUUAGUGUCGCUGCUGUGCGAAUGCCAGCCCAGGAUUGAUCUCCCGUGGUCACAUCUCCGGGUGCCUCGUCUUUCUUAACUCGAUGAAGUGGCUUAAGGAGAUAGCAGAGAAAACAGAUAGUGGGGGGCGUCUGUAUAGGCAUAUACGAUUAAAGAGUGUACAGGGGCUUCUCCCCCUUAUAUCAUUCAGCUUCCGCUUGUUGUUGGACAAACAAAUGAAAGGAAAAUGGGGAGUCAAUUGCAAACAUAAAAUAGAUGCACUAUGUUAAUAUCAAACCUGCUGAUCCAACAUCCGAACUGAAAGACAAAUGAAAAGAAGCAGCUGGUUUUACCAAUGGCUCUGAAAAGCUACAUAUCCUCAAUACCUAUCUAGAUCAUGGGUGGUUCCGUAAGACCAAGAAGUGCGUGUGGCCAAGGUUGUCCACCAAUCGGUAUUUUGUGCCCUAUUGUUCAAAGCGGUCAUGGAAAGUUGCAUAUUUCAACAUCUUUGUCAAGCUGUGUAAUAGAAAAUCUAUGUGUUUGUGGUUGUGAACUGGGCAAGAUUGUUUACUAGCGCAACUGGGAAUACCAAUUCUUGUAAUUUUGAAGUCGCAUUCAGUAAAAUGUGAUGUUCGAAUUGUGAACUAAUCAAUGAGGAGAAGCAUAGGAAACUAGUAUAAAGCAAGUGUAUGCAGCUUUAAUCAUUUUGUGGACACAUGCAUAAUUUUUUUAAUGUUAUCUGUAUGUAAUAAAAGUGAGGU
This 4331-nucleotide long non-coding RNA is filed under the name Brachypodium distachyon (stiff brome). RNAcentral describes it as "long non-coding RNA (BDIS_LNC004271)". Lineage: Eukaryota; Viridiplantae; Streptophyta; Magnoliopsida; Poales; Poaceae. The record is from RNAcentral.